Sciurus carolinensis (gray squirrel) is the source of this 799-nucleotide long non-coding RNA. RefSeq lists it as uncharacterized. Lineage: Eukaryota; Metazoa; Chordata; Mammalia; Rodentia; Sciuridae. The transcript is spliced from 3 exons. The record is from RefSeq and is a predicted model, not a curated record.
ACAGGGUCAGCUGUUGACCCUGCUACUUAGCAGCUGGACAAGCGACUUAGCCUCUCCACACCCUAGUUUUCUUGUUUGUGGUGAUCAUUUUCAAAAGCGGCCACCACAGUCGCUCCUGGACUCCUUACAAAGUGAUGGUUCCAUUCCCUCCUUCAAGAGAAGGAAUCCAGCUUCCUCCUGCAGUUUGGGCUGGUCACUUACUUUGAGCAAUAGAAUGUGGCAGCGAUGCUGUGCCAGUCCAGGCUCUUAUGUUAGGAAGCCUCUCAGCUUUCACUUUUGCCCCCUAGGAAAACAGCUGCAGAGGGGAGACGCUCCAGCUGGACACCUCAGUGGUGGACAGCCCAUGUGAACAGAGAGGCAGUUGGAGGAGAACUGAGGAGCGGCAGCAGCCAGCCAGCACCAAGGCUUCAGGAAUCCAAGGAGACCUGCUUGGAUCUCCCCACCUCAGCUACAGCAACUCCUCCUUGUUACAAGGCAGACAUGCUUAUACAGGGGUGGCAUUGACAUGAAAAAGGAACAUCUGGCAUCAUAACAUUCAGAGUCUGGAAUGAAGAAAAGGGAAAACAACAACCUCUAGGGAAAAAAGGAGGACAUUGGGUCCCAGGGAGAGAAGGAAAACAAUGGGCUCUGGACUUUCACCAUUUCCUGUUCUACAACUGUUUCCCUGACUGCCCAACUGACACAAUCUGCUGUGAUUCAGUCUAACUGAACCCUAUAAAAUUCAGACCCCUAUUGUAACCAGUUGCCAUUUUCUGUCUUGAAAAUGUGUCGCUCCUCUGCUUAAUAAAACAUGCUGAUC